RNAcentral lists this ribosomal RNA (875 nucleotides) under uncultured Nitrososphaerota archaeon. RNAcentral's name for it is "bacterial SSU rRNA". It matches the Rfam family "Archaeal small subunit ribosomal RNA", at positions 1 to 884 of the family's 1478-position model. Lineage: Archaea; Thermoproteati; Nitrososphaerota. The record is from RNAcentral.
UUCCGGUUGAUCCUGCCGGACCUGACUGCUAUCGGAUUGAUACUAAGCCAUGCGAGUCAUUGUAGCAAUACAAGGCAUACGGCUCAGUAACGCGUAGUCAACCUACCCUAUGGACGGAAAUAACCUCGGGAAACUGAGAAUAAUAUCCGAUAGAACAUUAUGCCUGGAAUGGUUUAUGUUCCAAAUGAUUUAUCGCCGUAGGAUGGGACUGCGGCCUAUCAGUUUGUUGGUGAGGUAAUGGCCCACCAAGACUAUUACAGGUACGGGCUCUGAGAGGAGUAGCCCGGAGAUGGGUACUGAGACACGGACCCAGGCCCUAUGGGGCGCAGCAGGCGAGAAAACUUUGCAAUGUGCGAAAGCACGACAAGGUUAAUCCGAGUGAUUUCUGCUAAAGAAAUCUUUUGUUAGUCCUAGAAACACUAACGAAUAAGGGGUGGGCAAGUUCUGGUGUCAGCCGCCGCGGUAAAACCAGCACCUCAAGUGGUCAGGAUGAUUAUUGGGCCUAAAGCAUCCGUAGCCGGCUCUGUAAGUCCUCGGUUAAAUCUGUACGCUUAACGUACAGGCUGCCGGGAAUACUGCAUAGCUAGGGAGUGGGAGAGGUAGACGGUACUCGGUAGGAAGGGGUAAAAUCCUUUGAUCUAUUGAUGACCACCUGUGGCGAAGGCGGUCUACCAGAACACGUCCGACGGUGAGGGAUGAAAGCUGGGGGAGCAAACCGGAUUAGAUACCCGGGUAGUCCCAGCUGUAACUAUGCAAACUCAGUGAUGCAUUGGCUUGUGGCCAAUGCAGUGCUGCAGGGAAGCCGUUAAGUUUGCCGCCUGGGAAGUACGUACGCAAGUAUGAAACUUAAAGGAAUUGGCGGGGGAGCACCACAA